RNAcentral lists this ribosomal RNA (488 nucleotides) under uncultured bacterium. RNAcentral describes it as "partial 16S ribosomal RNA". It matches the Rfam family "Bacterial small subunit ribosomal RNA", at positions 28 to 507 of the family's 1533-position model. The record is from RNAcentral.
GACGAACGCUGGCGGCGUGCUUAACACAUGCAAGUCGAACGGAAAGGCCCGGCUUUUGUGGGGUGCUCGAGUGGCGAACGGGGGAGUAACACGUGAGUAACCUGCCCUUGACUUUGGGAUAACUUCAGGAAACUGGGGCUAAUACCGGAUAGGAGCUCCUGCUGCAUGGUGGGGGUUGGAAAGUUUCGGCGGUUGGGGAUGGACUCGCGGCGUAUCAGCUUGUUGGUGGGGUAGUGGCUUACUAAGGCUAGGACGGGUAGCCGAACUGAGAGGGUGAUCGGCCACACGGGAGCGUAGACACGGUCCAGACGACUGAGGGACGGAGCAGUCGGGAACCGUCCGCAAUGGGCGAAAGUCUGACAGAGCAACGCCGCGUGAGUGAUAAAGGUCUUCGGUGCGUAAAACUCUCUUAUUAGUUAAGAACAAAUGUGUAAUUAGCCAUGGCCGGCUUGACGGUACCGAAUCAGAAAGCCACGGCUAACUACGUG